This 100-nucleotide unclassified non-coding RNA is filed under the name Paragenipa lancifolia. Its description in RNAcentral is "partial external transcribed spacer". The record is from RNAcentral. Lineage: Eukaryota; Viridiplantae; Streptophyta; Magnoliopsida; Gentianales; Rubiaceae.
CAUCGCCCGUACCGAACGACUGCCGGCCGUCGCCUCGAGACGACGCGCGCGCCCGUCGGGCGCGUCGGCCUCGUGCGAUGCCGGCGUCGGUUAGGAAUGC